AACGAACGCUGGCGGCAUGCCUAACACAUGCAAGUCGAACGAGACCUUCGGGUUUAGUGGCGCACGGGUGCGUAACGCGUGGGAACCUGCCCUUAGGUUCGGAAUAACUCCCCGAAAGGGGUGCUAAUACCGGAUAAUGUCUUCGGACCAAAGAUUUAUCGCCUUUGGAUGGGCCCGCGUUGGAUUAGCUAGUUGGUAGGGUAAAAGCCUACCAAGGCGACGAUCCAUAGCUGGUCUGAGAGGAUGAUCAGCCACACUGGGACUGAGACACGGCCCAGACUCCUACGGGAUGCAGCAGUGGGGAAUAUUGGACAAUGGGCGAAAGCCUGAUCCAGCAAUGCCGCGUGAGUGAUGAAGGCCUUAGGGUUGUAAAGCUCUUUUACCCGGGAUGAUAAUGACAGUACCGGGAGAAUAAGCUCCGGCUAACUCCGUG
Molecule: ribosomal RNA, 433 nt
Filed under: uncultured bacterium
Lineage: Bacteria
Description: partial 16S ribosomal RNA
Rfam family: Bacterial small subunit ribosomal RNA
Source: RNAcentral